UGACAUACCAGAUCGUCUUGA
Molecule: transfer RNA, 21 nt
Filed under: Pinguinus impennis (great auk)
Lineage: Eukaryota; Metazoa; Chordata; Aves; Charadriiformes; Laridae
Description: partial tRNA-Val
Source: RNAcentral